Molecule: transfer RNA, 72 nt
Filed under: Phrynosoma platyrhinos (Desert horned lizard)
Lineage: Eukaryota; Metazoa; Chordata; Lepidosauria; Squamata; Phrynosomatidae
Description: tRNA-OTHER
Source: RNAcentral
GCCAGCAUGGUAUAGUGGUUUGAGCACUGGACUACAAUUCUGGAGACCAGGGUUCGAUUCUCGGCUCAGCCA